Camelus dromedarius (Arabian camel) is the source of this 2671-nucleotide long non-coding RNA. The record is from Ensembl. NCBI's taxonomy places the organism in Eukaryota, Metazoa, Chordata, Mammalia, Artiodactyla, Camelidae.
GAGGCUGCAGGGGCCGCCCGUCACCUUCACAUGUGUUCCUUAACAAUAUGUGCACAGUCUCUCAAGAGGGAGCUCCAGAUGGUGAAGGAGACUCUGCAGGCCAUGAUCCUGCAGCUCCAGCCGGCAAAGGAGGUGGGAGAGAGGGAGCCCGCUGCUUCCUGUGUGACAGCUGGCAUCCAGGAGUCACAGGCCUGAGGCGUGACAGGAUGGGGGAAGGAGGAACAGUGAUGCUCCUGUCUUCAUUCGGAUCCAGGGACACCGAACGAUCUCUGUCAUUUCCCGAAGUCACACUGGCAUUCCUGGGAGGCACCUGCUUCUUUGCUAAGCCUUCUGUGCUGUGUGGCGCUUCCGUCUUCCAUCAGAAGAUGCCCCUGCUUAAGCCAGCAAGUGACCAGGGUCCAGGGAAUGAAGCAAAAGCACAACAUGAAUUUUCUCAUUGUGUUUCUGACAGUUUUCUGCUGAGCAUUAAAAAAUACACUAUACGUAUUUUAAGACGUAUAAUUAGUUUGUUCCAGGAGUGUUUGGUUUUUCAAUAAUAGAGCAAAUGCCUAAAUUAUUUAUAAUCAUGUCUAAAAAAAUAUUAUGUACAAGUCACAUGGCACAUGGAAUUCUUGAGUCCUUGAAUUAAUUCCAGUGAAGCAAAAUUUGGGACGAGUCAAGACUGUCUCUAAUAAAUCCCUACUUUGACAAGCGUUGUUUUAACAAGCCCCACAAGACAUCUUAACAGUCACUAACCCGAGCGUUUUCUAUUACUCAGGUACCAUCAUGAAUAAUUCUGAUAGGUCAUUAUGCCUUGAAAAUUCUAGAAGCUAAUUACUGUCUGAGUGUGCCCCAAAUAAGGGGUCUCCAGUGCCUCCAGUGGGCAGUGUGCCCAUUUCCUUGUUGAGACCCUGACCCAGGCAGGUGAAUGAUGCUUUAACUACAAGCUCAGCUCAUCCGCAGUCUAUGCUGUUGUCAGAGGCAGCCAGGAAGCCUGCCCGAGGCCAGGGUGUUUCCUCUGACCCUCUGACCUUCUCAGGACAAGCCCCUCUUCAGUCACUGUGACCCUAGAAGACCCAGGACUGUACAUCUCAAACCCUAGGGCAGUGUCUGCAGGGCAACCUCAAAAGAGAUGAGAGCUUGAAUCUAAAAGCAGCAAAGCAAUAAGGACACAAAUCCAAGCUUUCGUGGAGACAAUCAAGACCACAAGCAAAGGUGCAGGUGGAGAAUGAUGGCUUUGGGUCUGAGUCCACUGUGGCCCGUGCGAGAGAACAGAUGAGAUAUUACAGGGUCCUCCGUGCUGAGAUGCCGGCAUCCAAAUGGCCACUCAUGCACUUCCUCCAGCCCGACUUAGCGGGGCGUCUUCCGAGUCAGUAACAGUCCUGGUUCCUUCCUACAUCCUGAAAUUUCAACAUCAUAAUGAUCUUCCUCAAAUCAAGUUAACGUGUAACGUUGGGAGCUUUUCUUCCUGGGCAGUAGGGCUGGUUUCCCCGCCCCAGGAGCAUGGAGAGGCUCACAUGGGGGCGCUGGGACUGUCCUAAGACCUUUCUAAUCAUUAUCGCCUUUAAUCCUCAUUUCAGUCUUACAGGGUGGGUGUUUGUAGUUGGUGAAAUUGAGCCUUAGGAGACUGCUAAUGUACCCCACAGCACGGAGGUGGAGGGCAGUGGACUGGCAGCGGCAUUUGGGGACAGGUAGAAUGCUUCUAACUGUGUUCUUCCUAGCGUACUUGUAAUGUCUUUUGGGGACUAUGAGCCAUGGAGCAUAUUUGCUCGCUUAAGAACACAUGUUGGGGGCAGGGGUGUAUAGCUCAGUGGUAGAGCACGUGCUUAGCAUGCACGAGGUCCUGGGUUCAAUCCCCAGUCCCUCCAUUAAAAAAAAAAAUAAAAAGAACACAUGUCCACCUUGGGAAUCCUGCCUUGAGAAUCAGAGAAUCUGAGCCUACCACCCAUCACCGUCCUCACCAAUCGUUCAUUCCCCAUCCACCUCAAACGCCAUGCCAGGAACAACCACUUACUGCCUGACAUCAUGCAGAUUUUCUUGAAAAUCCCCAUCCAAUUGGUAUUUUUCAGAAAGCAUUUCAGGAAGCAACAUUGUGCCCAUUGGUUAAUGCCUCCUUGUAUAAACGAUUUGAUACUCAUGUUUAAUAACCUCACCUUAUCUAAUCUUUGAAUUUUAUUAUAUAAUUUAUUACUUCAUGAAAUUUACUUUUCGUUAUGUGAAAUUAAAACUGUGAUCCAAGCCAUGGUUGGAUAUUUAACAUUUUUCUUUUGACUUCUAGGAUGUGGGUGAUAGAAACAUUUUUAUCACCUUGACUCAUCUCAUCUUUCUGUUCCAGGAUGAUUCAUUGUACAGUUACUUACAUCACACAAAAUUUUUCUAAUAAAGCAGUGCUAAAAAACUGUGUAUGUGUUUACUUUCAGAUCUCAACCAGUCAGAAAGCAGUGGAAUUUUCUAUUCCAGACCCUUUGAGGAAGUUGAAAAUAACAUUAUCACUAAGUGUUCAGAAAGACUCAUGUAUAACCAAUCCACUAUCUUCAUGUUUUCCAGUCUUUGUACAAAAACAGAUUUUCACCAAACUGUAGCCAGCCUUUUUUUUUAUUCUGUUUUUUAUGCUUAACAUUAUGGUAUUUUCCAUUUUUCUACAGAAUCGUUAUAAUCAUUGUAUCUGUUGCUGCAUAAUAUGCUAUCAAAU